Molecule: ribosomal RNA, 263 nt
Filed under: uncultured bacterium
Lineage: Bacteria
Description: partial 16S ribosomal RNA
Rfam family: Bacterial small subunit ribosomal RNA
Source: RNAcentral
GUACCUACGGGAGGCAGCAGUGGGGAAUAUUGCACAAUGGGGGGAACCCUGAUGCAGCGACGCCGCGUGAGUGAAGAAGUAUUUCGGUAUGUAAAGCUCUAUCAGCAGGGAAGAAAAUGACGGUACCUGACUAAGAAGCCCCGGCUAACUACGUGCCAGCAGCCGCGGUAAUACGUAGGGGGCAAGCGUUAUCCGGAUUUACUGGGUGUAAAGGGGGCGCAGACGGCGAUGCAAGCCAGGAGUGAAAGCCCGGGGCCCAACCC